AUUGGAGGAAGUUCUUCAGCAGCUAAUACAAGCUGCAAAAUCCAUUGGGGAUAUCGUGCUUGAGGCAAAAUUUGAAGAGGCUGUUACCAAGAUCAAGAGGGAUAUUGUCUUUGCUGCAUCUCUAUAUUUGUAGAUACAAAAUUGAAGCAUUUCUGCCAAUGCUCCAUUUACAAAGGUUAGGUUAGAUGGGUGUGGUUGCCACUAAAUUAUGCCCUUAAUUUGUUGUAUGGUAGCUCAUUAUUUAUAUUUUUAUCUAUAAUCGAGAACAAAUUAACUGUCACUUUACGUCUUCCUUUUGUUUCAAUUUUGUUGUUUUAUAGGGGAAU
RNAcentral lists this unclassified non-coding RNA (326 nucleotides) under Hevea brasiliensis (rubber tree). The record is from RNAcentral. Lineage: Eukaryota; Viridiplantae; Streptophyta; Magnoliopsida; Malpighiales; Euphorbiaceae.